GCCUGCUUAUCAAAAACAUGUUUGUUUGGAGCUAUAGAGAAUUUAGCCUGCCCCCUGAUAAGUAAAUUAAAGGGCCGCAGUAUUUUAACUGUGCAAAGGUAGCAUAAUCAUUAGGUUUUUAAUUGAAAUCUUGUAUGAAUGGCUGGACAAAAGAAAAUCUUUCUUUAUAUUAAAUUUUGAAUUUAACUUUUAAGUGAAAAGGCUUAAAUGUCCCAGGGAGACGAUAAGACCCUGUAAAACUUCACAUUAUAAUUGAAAUUUAAUUUAAUUUAAAUAUAAAAGUUUUAUUAGGUUAUUUGUUAUGUUGGGGAGACAUAGGUAAAAUUUUUUAUUGUAACUGCUUUAGGAGUUUAACAAUUAUUAUUGGGGCGUAAUAGAUCCUUUUUAAAGAUUAAUAAGUUAAGUUACUUUAGGGAUAACAGCGUAAUUUCUUUUAAGAGUUCUUAUCGAAAAAGAAGAUUGCGACCUCGAUGUUGAAUUAAAAUAUCUAUAUAAUGGAGGAGUUAUAUAAGAAGGUCUGUUCGACCUUUAAAUUUUUACAUGAUUUGAGUUCAAACCGGUGUGAGCCAGGUUGAUUUCAAUCUC
Molecule: ribosomal RNA, 585 nt
Filed under: Eosamon tumidum
Lineage: Eukaryota; Metazoa; Arthropoda; Malacostraca; Decapoda; Potamidae
Description: partial large subunit ribosomal RNA
Rfam family: Bacterial large subunit ribosomal RNA
Source: RNAcentral